GACUUCUAGUACUGUGGAAAAGUUGACUAUGUGUGCAUUUUCCACCCGAUUGUUUCUUUUUUUAAUGUUUCCUCUCUUAUUGUGCUAAUGCAAUUAUUGCCAGCCAUUGCCAUUAGAAAGCGUUUAAGAUCAUUUGAAGAAAGCGAAAAAAAAACAAUCAUAUUGCAGUAGCGAAAAAUAACACGAAAAGUGUUACAAAAAGAAAGCAACUCGUUAAUGUGAAUUCUGUCGAAGAAAUUAUAGAAAAUGUGCUGUAAAAAUAGUGAAAAAAUGAAGAAAACUAAUUAGUGCAGUAGUCGCCGCAAUUGUCAGUUAUAGCGCAGAGUCGCAACCACCACCAACACCUUGUACAAGUACCGUUGCGUGCAUCGUGGACUAUCGUCGUUUUUUGUUAGCAAAAGCAGCAAAUUGAGAGCAUAAAAACAACAACAAAAAAACUCAUUUACAAAGCUGAGUAAAAGUGCCGUUUGCCAAAGUCACCAUUGCUACUUUCAUCAAUUUUUGUAUUUUGUAUUGUGCUUUUAAUUUUUAUUUUUGACCGCAUUGCAAUGCGUUUUGUCUGCGACUUAUACGCCAGCAGUCGGCUUAUUAAAUGUAUUUAUAGGUUUCCCUGCGGCUGUUGAAAAAGUAGUUUUGCACCACCUUAAUAAGUAAAAACAACAAAACGAAAAACCUCAAAAAAAUUUUAAACUUUUGACACUAACAGAUUUCCCUGCAAGUGCAGACUAAGUGAAAAUGUCCGCGACAAAAAAAAUAAAAGAAAAUAAACAUUUUUGACAAAAAUUCACUAAAAGACGAAAAGCUCUGCCUAAAAAAUUUCUUAGAUCGUAUAAAUGAACUAAUGCUGAUGACAAAUUACAAAAAAAAAAAAAAUAAUAAUUGACAAAACAAAAGUGGAUUUUGACAAAAAUAAAAUUGAACUACCGCCGAACUUGAUCAGAUAAAUUCAAGAAGCAGUGAGAAACUAUACAAAAUUUAAAAGAAGCAUCUUUGUACGAGUCCACGGUUGUGCUGCCCGCUUUGUGAUUUCAACUUCAAGACAAAAAAUAAUGGAAACUAAUUCUCCAUCCGCCAAAAUGGUGGGAAUGGCUUUAAAAAACAAGAUGGAAAGGGUAAAGAAUGCCAGAUAAAAAGUACAUGUACAGUGAAUUUUGUUGAAAUGAAAUCAGACUCAUUAAGCUCGAGCUCAUUUUCUGAGGAUGGUGACGAUUCCGUACGUGAUACCACAUACAUUCCACCCGAUAUUGUCAGUAAGAGUAACAGUCACUGCGAACCAAAUUCAAUAUCAGACAGUUCUGAGGCUAACACAACCGAUGUCGAAACUCCGAUGAUUUUAACUAGUCCACGAAAACGAAUUUAAGGUGGCAAAUAAUAUCAUUAAAAAGAAAAACAUGAAGGAUAUUACAAUGACAAGAGCAUUUUAUACAAAACCUCAGAUAGCGGACCGCAAAAAAAGAUCUGCUAGAAUU
Long non-coding RNA from Anastrepha obliqua, 1469 nucleotides. RefSeq lists it as uncharacterized. NCBI's taxonomy places the organism in Eukaryota, Metazoa, Arthropoda, Insecta, Diptera, Tephritidae. The record is from RefSeq and is a predicted model, not a curated record. The transcript is spliced from 3 exons.